RNAcentral lists this ribosomal RNA (253 nucleotides) under uncultured bacterium. RNAcentral describes it as "partial 16S ribosomal RNA". It matches the Rfam family "Bacterial small subunit ribosomal RNA", at positions 524 to 776 of the family's 1533-position model. The record is from RNAcentral.
UACGUAGGGUGCAAGCGUUGUCCGGAAUUAUUGGGCGUAAAGGGCUCGUAGGCGGUUUGUCGCGUCGGGAGUGAAAACACCGGGCUUAACUCGGUGCUUGCUUUCGAUACGGGCAGACUAGAGGUAUUCAGGGGAGAACGGAAUUCCUGGUGUAGCGGUGAAAUGCGCAGAUAUCAGGAGGAACACCCGUAGCGAAGGCGGCACUCUGGGCCGGAACUGACGCUGAGGAGCGAAAGCGUGGGGAGCGAACAGG